CGCCGCGGUAAUACGUAGGGGGCAAGCGUUAUCCGGAUUCAUUGGGCGUAAAGCGCGCGUAGGCGGCCAGCCUGGUCGGGAGUCAAAUCCGGGGGCUCAACCCCCGUCCGCUCCCGAUACCGGCCGGCUUGAGUCUGGCAGGGGAAGGCGGAAUUCCCGGUGUAGCGGUGGAAUGCGCAGAUAUCGGGAAGAACACCGGUGGCGAAGGCGGCCUUCUGGGCCACGACUGACGCUGAGGCGCGAAAGCUAGGGGAGCGAACAGGAUUAGAUACCCUGGUAGUCCUAGCCGUAAACGAUGGGCACUAGGUGUGGGGGGAUCGUCCCUCCGUGCCGCAGCCAACGCAUUAAGUGCCCCGCCUGGGGAGUACGGCCGCAAGGCUAAAACUCAAAGGAAUUGACGGGGGCCCGCACAAGCAGCGGAGCAUGUGGCUUAAUUCGAAGCAACGCGAAGAACCUUACCAGGGCUUGACAUCCAGGUGAAGCGGCGGAGACGCCGUGGCCGAGAGGAGCCUGGACAGGUGGUGCAUGGCC
RNAcentral lists this ribosomal RNA (531 nucleotides) under uncultured archaeon. RNAcentral describes it as "bacterial SSU rRNA". It matches the Rfam family "Bacterial small subunit ribosomal RNA", at positions 513 to 1050 of the family's 1533-position model. The record is from RNAcentral.